GAUGAACGCUGGCGGCGUGCCUAAUACAUGCAAGUCGAGCGAACAGACGAGGAGCUUGCUCCUCUGACGUUAGCGGCGGACGGGUGAGUAACACGUGGAUAACCUACCUAUAAGACUGGGAUAACUUCGGGAAACCGGAGCUAAUACCGGAUAAUAUAUUGAACCGCAUGGUUCAAUAGUGAAAGACGGUUUUGCUGUCACUUAUAGAUGGAUCCGCGCCGCAUUAGCUAGUUGGUAAGGUAACGGCUUACCAAGGCAACGAUGCGUAGCCGACCUGAGAGGGUGAUCGGCCACACGGGAACUGAGACACGGUCCAGACUCCUACGGGAGGCAGCAGUAGGGAAUCUUACGCAAUGGGCGAAAGCUUGACGGAGCAAAGCCGCGUGAGUGAUGAAGGUCUUCGGAUCGUAAAACUCUGUUAUUAGGGAAGAACAAAUGUGUAAGUAACUAUGCACGUCUUGACGGUACCUAAUCAGAAAGCCACGGCUAACUACGUG
RNAcentral lists this ribosomal RNA (497 nucleotides) under uncultured bacterium. Its description in RNAcentral is "partial 16S ribosomal RNA". It matches the Rfam family "Bacterial small subunit ribosomal RNA", at positions 28 to 507 of the family's 1533-position model. The record is from RNAcentral.